UGAAAAGUAGUCAACUAUUUGGCUACUUUUAGUCAAAAUGUAGUUCGCUAUAACUACAACUACUGUUUUAAAAAAGUAGUCAAAAACUACAGGCUACUUGAAAAUUGUAGUUCGCUACAGUAGCGAACUACAACUACUUCGCUACUACCCACCCUUGUUUUAUAUUUACACCUGGGGUUGGUACCGAAGAGAUAUGGGUUGGGUAAUCAAGUUUUUGACUAGUUCAUGGGUUGGGUAAAAAAAUUUAUGGCUGUCUGUCAGCUAUAAAAUAAAACUAAACCAUGUAUUGGAAAAUAUGAAGAAAAAUGUGCACAAUACAUUCUGUACCAAAAUAGACCAUCAGUGAUUGAGGGAGGACUCUAUUAUUGAUCAGCAGGAACGUGGUUCCCUUGGCACACUCAGUGAG
Paramuricea clavata is the source of this 406-nucleotide non-coding RNA. The record is from the annotation of a GenBank genome assembly. NCBI's taxonomy places the organism in Eukaryota, Metazoa, Cnidaria, Anthozoa, Malacalcyonacea, Plexauridae.